Molecule: small nuclear RNA, 103 nt
Organism: Callithrix jacchus (white-tufted-ear marmoset)
Lineage: Eukaryota; Metazoa; Chordata; Mammalia; Primates; Cebidae
Source: Ensembl
GUGCUCACUUCACAGCACAUAUACUAAAAUUGGAACAAUAUAGAGAUUACCAUGGCUCCUGCACAAGGAUGACACCCAAAUUUUUGGAACAUUCUAUAUUCUU